Molecule: ribosomal RNA, 285 nt
Filed under: uncultured Pseudomonadales bacterium
Lineage: Bacteria; Pseudomonadati; Pseudomonadota; Gammaproteobacteria; Pseudomonadales
Description: partial 16S ribosomal RNA
Rfam family: Bacterial small subunit ribosomal RNA
Source: RNAcentral
CUUGUGCCAGCAGCCGCGGUAAUACAGAGGGUGCAAGCGUUAAUCGGAAUUACUGGGCGUAAAGCGCGCGUAGGUGGUUCGUUAAGUUGGAUGUGAAAUCCCCGGGCUCAACCUGGGGACUGCAUUCAAAACUGACGAGCUAGAGUAUGGUAGAGGGUGGUGGAAUUUCCUGUGUAGCGGUGAAAUGCGUAGAUAUAGGAAGGAACACCAGUGGCGAAGGCGACCACCUGGACUGAUACUGACACUGAGGUGCGAAAGCGUGGGGAGCAAACAGGAUUAGAUACC